UACCCCUGCAUCAUGAAAGAAAAGAUAUACAGUAACAGCACUGACUUUUUCAUCUGUGAGAUUCGAGGAACACCUGUUGCUACCUUUCAGCACUUGAAAAUAAUGUAUGGUGACGAGACGGUACACUUCUGGCCUCUAUCUUCAUUACAUCGUGUCGUUCUGAUCAUACGUGUUAUGAUGAUACCCUGUAUUAUUUGUGUGUUGGUGAUUAUCUGUCUUUGGCAAAAGUGGCUCACUGCUGAGAGGAACAAUCUCUGACCAUGACGUCAAACCUGGUGAACAUUUUGCUUCACAAUUAUCAACAAACACACAACAACUUAUAAUUUUUGAUUCCAUUUUCCACUUGUGAGUUACUUGGGGUUAAGUUCACUCUUUAGUCCCCAGAGUAUUUCAAGAGAGGCAUCCUUAACUAUAAAGUGAGUUAGAAGGGCUUCUUGUGGUCCUCAGUAUUUGGAUUUUUAUCUUCUUGGCAUGUUUAAUAUUGUUCAACUCAGGUGCAGUUUUAUCUUGGAGACCAGAUCAUA
Plectropomus leopardus (leopard coralgrouper) is the source of this 524-nucleotide non-coding RNA. NCBI's taxonomy places the organism in Eukaryota, Metazoa, Chordata, Actinopteri, Perciformes, Serranidae. The record is from RefSeq and is a predicted model, not a curated record.